AGAGUUUGAUCAUGGCUCAGAACGAACGCUGGCGGCAGGCUUAACACAUGCAAGUCGAACGCAUCCUUCGGGGUGAGUGGCAGACGGGUGAGUAACGCGUGGGAACGUGCCCUUCAGUUCGGAAUAACCCAGGGAAACUUGGGCUAAUACCGGAUACGUGCGAGAGCAGAAAGAUUUAUCGCUGAAGGAUCGGCCCGCGUCUGAUUAGCUAGUUGGUGAGGUAAUGGCUCACCAAGGCGACGAUCAGUAGCUGGUCUGAGAGGAUGAUCAGCCACAUUGGGACUGAGACACGGCCCAAACUCCUACGGGAGGCAGCAGUGGGGAAUAUUGGACAAUGGGCGCAAGCCUGAUCCAGCCAUGCCGCGUGAGUGAUGAAGGCCUUAGGGUUGUAAAGCUCUUUCGUCCGGGACGAUAAUGACGGUACCGGAAGAAGAAGCCCCGGCUAACUUCGUGCCAGCAGCCGCGGUAAUACGAAGGGGGCUAGCGUUGUUCGGAAUCACUGGGCGUAAAGGGCGCGUAGGCGGCCUGAUAAGUCGGGGGUGAAAGCCUGUGGCUCAACCACAGAAUUGCCUUCGAUACUGUCGGGCUUGAGACCGGAAGAGGUAAGUGGAACUGCGAGUGUAGAGGUGAAAUUCGUAGAUAUUCGCAAGAACACCAGUGGCGAAGGCGGCUUACUGGUCCGGUUCUGACGCUGAGGCGCGAAAGCGUGGGGAGCAAACAGGAUUAGAUACCCUAGUAGUCC
This 742-nucleotide ribosomal RNA is filed under the name uncultured bacterium. Its description in RNAcentral is "bacterial SSU rRNA". It matches the Rfam family "Bacterial small subunit ribosomal RNA", at positions 8 to 796 of the family's 1533-position model. The record is from RNAcentral.